AAAAUGGACAUUAAAAACGAAGA
Molecule: non-coding RNA, 23 nt
Filed under: Cricetulus griseus (Chinese hamster)
Lineage: Eukaryota; Metazoa; Chordata; Mammalia; Rodentia; Cricetidae
Source: RNAcentral